GAUGAAGAACGCAGCGAAAUGCGAUAAGUAAUGUGAAUUGCAGAAUUCAGUGAAUCAUCGAAUCUUUGAACGCACAUUGCGGCCAUAGGUAUUCCUUUGGCCAUGCCUGUUCGAGCGUCAUUUACACCCUCAAGCCUAGCUUGGUGUUGGGCGUCUGUCCCGCCGUUCUCGCGCGCGGACUCGCCUCAAAGUCAUUGGCGGCGGUCGUGCCGGCCCCCUCGCGCAGCACAUUUGCGCUUCUCGGAGGCCCGGCGGAUCCGCGCUCCAGCAAGACCUUUCACGACUUGACCUCGGAUCAGGUAGGGAUACCCGCUGAACUUAAGCAUAUCAAUAAGCGGAGGA
RNAcentral lists this unclassified non-coding RNA (342 nucleotides) under soil metagenome. RNAcentral's name for it is "partial contains 5.8S ribosomal RNA, internal transcribed spacer 2, and large subunit ribosomal RNA". The stretch from base 1 to 120 matches the Rfam family "5.8S ribosomal RNA", at positions 35 to 154 of the family's 154-position model. The record is from RNAcentral.